AACUCACGCACGCACACACCCAUUCUCAACAAACGCACGCACGCAUCCAUUAGUCAUCCCACGCACACAUCCAUUCAUCAAGUCACGCAGCAAUCCAUCAAUCGACAACCCACGCACCUAUCGAUCGGGACUCACGGCCAGGACGAGGGAAGCACGUACGUAGAAUCCUCACGCAUCGGCCGGAGGCGGAGUGGAUGGCCUCUGGCAGAAUUUCAGGCGGCUGCAUCCCGGGAGCAAGGCCAGGAGGAGGAGCCGAACCACCGGAGGCCAAACUCGUGUUCCAGGAGGGUAAGAUGAUCGUCUAACUAAUCUUACUUCUCUCUUUCUUCCACGCAUAUGGCAUGCACGCACACAAGCCGGGAGCAUUGCCGAACGCGAAGUUCGCAUGAUCGGACCGCCGCCGGAGAUAGAGCCGCCGGACUGGAAGAUGAGGUCGACGAAGUCAACGGUGCCUGAGAUGGUCUUCACCAGGCCAGCGCCACAAAGAACGACGAGGAGGUCGUCAUCACCACCGGCUGUCCACCUCGUCACGACGGUUCGGCAAAGACGACGACACGGAGCACGCCACGACGCCGCCCACUGUCGACGCCACCGAGGUCGGUGCCACGGAGGUCGACACCACGGUGAUCGCCCCCACUCAUCACCGCUCGAUGAGGACGAUGCGUCGCCGGAGCUCAUCUUCAUCAAGCCCGCGCUAUGGACGCUGACUCCACCGAGAUCGGUGGCACGGAGGUCGACGCCACGGUGGCCGCCCCCACUCAUCACUGCUCGAUGAGGACGACGCGUCGCUGGAGCUCAUCUUCAUCAAACCCGCGCUAUGGAUGCUGACUCCACCGAGGUCGGUGCCACGGAAGUCGACGCCACGGUGGCCGCCCCCACUCAUCACCGCUCGAUGAGGACGACGCGUCGCCGGAGCUCGUCUUCACCAAACCCGCGCCACGGUAGCUGCCCCCACUCACCACCGCUCGACGAGGACGCUGUUAGAAUAAGUAUAUGUAUCGGACGUGGAGUUCUAGUUGUAUACAGGCAAUUGACUUGUACGUCAAUUGUCCCAGCCGUGUCCUACUCUGUAAUGAUCUCUGAUAGGUCUAUUGUGAUAUAAAUAUACGGCAGGUGAUCUCAGGAGAUCAUCACGCCUCAACCAAUCGACCCUUGAUUUCUUACAUGGUAACAGAGCC
RNAcentral lists this ribosomal RNA (1178 nucleotides) under Triticum aestivum (bread wheat). Its description in RNAcentral is "partial small subunit ribosomal RNA". The record is from RNAcentral. Lineage: Eukaryota; Viridiplantae; Streptophyta; Magnoliopsida; Poales; Poaceae.